UCAAUGUGCUGGACCUUACAUAUCUGAGCCUACAUUCAUUUAAUUAGUUUUGGGUCGGAUCACCUGACCCGACCCAUGAGCAUUGUACAUAUAUAGGCUGAAGUGUAGAUAUUUUGGACCGAGACUUCAUAUUAUGUUUUAAUGAAAUUCUCUGUGGAUCUUCUCGAUCCUUCUCUCAACUACCUCCUUCUCUCUCUUGUUUCUCUCACUAUAUUGUUCAUAUUUCAGUUUGAUCUUAAUGUUUUCAUCAUUUAAAGCCACAAGACAGCAAACUCUUUCAUUUCAGGCCAUGGGAAAGAGAACUCCUUCCAUUCAGUCGACUCUUUCAUUAACUAUGUUCUUCUGCAUAUUGUUAUCUUGGUUGAAGUCUUGUUUGAGAUUUUUGGGGGUGUUUCUGACGCAUGUGGUCGAUGAUGAUUCCGAUCUAAAUCAGAUGCUUUUUUGAGACUUUCAUCAUGAUAUCUGAGUAUAUCUUCUUCACUUGAACGUUCUGGAAGAUUUUCCGAUGAUUUUUGGGUGAUUUCUUGGUGACUUAUCAGCUUCUAGGGUUUCUGGUGGUUGAACCUAGGAUUUAACUGCUAUCCGGUGGCUCGAUCCUCACUCAGUGGAUGUUUUGGGUGACUUUCCGACAUCCCUGACCAUAUUUCUAGUAAGGUUUGCGACGGUUGCACCUAGGGUUUUGUACCUAGGGUUUUCUCUGUUGAUUGAAGGCCGAUCUUCUCAGGUCGCGAAGAAGGAGGGUAACUCUGUCCUUAUUUUGAGUAUUGUAUGCUUUGUGUGUGACAAUCUGGUUCCGUAUGUGAGUGGAAGAAGGAGGGUAACUCUGUCCUUAUCUUGAAGUAUUGUAUGCUUUGUGUGUGAUUAUCUAACUCCGUAUGUGAGUAUCUGGUUUUGUGUGUGAAUAUCUAGUUUGGUUAUACUCUACUUGUAGAAACUGUUCUUUUAAGCCGGUUCAUUGAUUAUGGCUUCUAAUACGAAUGCUGGUAGCUCCUCCUCCUCAGUAGACUCUACCAGCCCCCACUUUGUACACUCCUCUAAUGUCCCUGGGGUCUCUCUUGUCCCCACUCCCUUCUCGGGAAGUGGUUAUGGGGGUUGGAGGACCUCUGAUGUUCCUGGAGUCUCUCUUGUGUCCACUCCUUUCUUGGGCAGUGGCUAUGGGGGUUGGAGGAGGAAGAUGAUUGUCGCGUUAUCUGCUAAAAACAUAAUUGGUUUUGUUGAUGGCACCUGUCCCCGGCCAGUCACUAAUGUGACUCAGCAAAGACUAUGGGACAGAUGCAAUAAUAUGGUAAUUUCCUGGUUGACUGCCUCCCUCUCCCCUCAAAUUGCUGAAAGUGUGCAGUAUUCUGAUACUGCACAGAGUAUAUGAUCCCAACUCCAGGCCAGAUAUGGCACUGCAAACAUGACCAAAAUCUUUGAAUUGAAAAGAGAGCUUUCUCACACUUCUCAAGGAUCCUUAGAUGUAGCUUUAUAUUUUAAUAAGCUUAAAGGUCUGUGGGAUGAACUAGAAUCAAUGUGUGUUAAUCAUGGUCGAAGAUGUGUUUGUGCUGCCAAAGAUGGUAUAAUACAGGAAAGUGAUGAAAUUAAGGUGUUUCAGUUUUUACUGGGUCUUAAUAAAGCAUACAUGGGGGUAAGGAGUAAUCUUUUGAUGAUGCAGCCUCCUCCAACUCUUGACAAUAUCUAUAAUAUGGUCCUCAAUGAUGAGAAGCAAAGACAAGUCCAGUCUCCUUCUCACUUUAAUCCAGGCUCUGUCUCUUUCAAUGUCCAUACUAAUAGGCAGCCUGUUGUAUUUAACAAGGCCACAGUGCCUAAUCCUUCUUCUCCUUUCAGACAAAGAGUCAAUUUUGAUCAUGAUACCAGGGUUGAGCAGACAACAUUAUGAUCAGUUGAUGAAUUUAUUGCAACAGACCCAGUUAGGGGACUCCACUGCUCAGACUCCUCCUCCCAUGUAUGCUGCUAACUUUGCUGGUACUAUGUUAACUGAGGGCCCUAUUUCUGAUUCCAAAAUCUGCUUGCUUACCAAUAUUAAUUCUGUCACCUAGAGCUGCCUCUAAUCACAUGACACAUGAUAAACAGUUACUUUUUAACAUCACACCUUUAACUCUGCCAUAUCUUGUCACUCUUCCUAAUGGCUAUAAAGUGAAAGUGACAUGCACAAGCUCUUUUGCAUUGACUCCUUCCAUCACUCUUCACAAUGUACUGUUGGUUCCUUCUUUUAAACAGAACUUGAUUUAUGUCCACAAGUUAGUGAAGCAGUUGCAUUGUAUAGUUAUGUUCACUGAACAUUCAUGCUUACUACACAUGAUACAGGACCCUUCUCUGAGAGGCCUCUGGAUCUUGGUAAAGAAGUUGCUGAAUUAUAUAAACUGGCUUGGGUUCCUCCUUCCUCUUCUUCCUCUGUUAGUUGUUCCUCUACUUCAGUUUGUUCUGUGUCUACUUCUUGUAAUAUGACAUUUUGUCUGAUAGCAAGGCUGUUCCAUUGCCCUCACAUGUAUAUAGUUCCAUCUGUAAUAAUGUUCUUACAACUGACAUGAAUUACAUUUGGCAUGGUUCAAACUAUUAGAAGUGACAAUGCCUUAGAAUUGGGAUCUAGCAUUGAGGGUACUUCUUUCUUUAGCAGUCAGGGGAUCAUACAUCAAACCACCUGUUCUCAUACCCCUCAACCGAAUGGUGUGGUUGAGAGGAAGCAUAGAACCCUCUUUGAAACCUGUAGAGCUUUGCAUUUUCAAUCUGGCUUGCCUGUAUCUUUCUGGGGGGACUGUUUGUUGACUGCCACUUACCUCCUUAACAGAAUACCCACUAGAUUGCUUCACAAUAAAUCCCCUCAUGAAAUCUUGUAUGGGAAAGUUCCACCCUAUUCUCAUUUGGGAACAUUUGGCUGCCUUGCCUAUGCUACUGUCUCAAUCCCUCAAAGGGAUAAGUUAAGGCCAAGAGCCCUUCCUUGUGUUUUCCUGGGCUUUCCCUUUGCCAAGAAAGGUUAUAAAUUGUAUGAUCUUGCUUCAAAGAAAUGUUUGGUUUCCAGGGAUGUUAUAUUUCAUGAAUCCUGUUUUCCUUUCAAAACUGUAUCUUCUUCUGUUCAUCCUUCUGUCUUUUCCUUUCCCUUUGCUCCCUCUGUAGGACAUGAUGAUGAUUCUGAUUCUACUUUUCCCAUCUCCUAUCCUCUUUCUCCUACUUCUGUGCAAGUACCUCCUCACACUGUUCUAGACUCUACUGACUCCCUUUUCCUUUCCCUUUGCUCCCUCUGUAGGACAUGAUGAUGAUUCUGAUUCUACUUUUCCCAUCUCCUCUCCUCUUUCUCCUACUUCUGUGCAAGUACCUCCUCACACUGUUCUAGACUCUACUGACUCUACCCUCACUCCUUCUUUCAAUCCUGAUAUCUCCCCUCCCGUUCUAGCUUCUUCUCCUCCUGUUCCUGCUCCCAGAAAGUCUCAAAGACAAUAUAAUCCUCCCUCUUAUCUUAAGGAUUAUGUCUGUCAACUACCUGCCUUUAUGGUUUUCCUGCUCCCAGAAAGUCUCAAAGACAAUAUAAUCCUCCCUCUUAUCUUAAGAAUUAUGGUUGUCAACUAGCUGCCUUUUCUGGUUCAUCUUCCUCCUCUUUGGAAUUUGAGCCUCUAUAUUACUCUCAGGCUGCAUCUGUUCCAGCAUGGCAAGAUGCCGUGAGAAAGGAGUUUGAUGCUUUGGACGCUAACCAUACUUGGGAUGUUGUUCCUCUUCCUCCUAGUAAGAAACCCAUUGGUUGUAAAUGAGUUUAUAAAAUAAAAUACAAGGCUGAUGGCUGUGUUGAAAGGUAUAAAGCCAGACUUGUUAUUAGAGGUGAUAC
This 3817-nucleotide long non-coding RNA is filed under the name Nicotiana benthamiana. RNAcentral's name for it is "long non-coding RNA (NBEN_LNC023136)". Lineage: Eukaryota; Viridiplantae; Streptophyta; Magnoliopsida; Solanales; Solanaceae. The record is from RNAcentral.